GACGAACGCUGGCGGCGUGCUUAACACAUGCAAGUCGAGCGGUAAGGCCCUUUCGGGGGUACACGAGCGGCGAACGGGUGAGUAACACGUGGGUGACCUGCCCUCAGCUCUGGGAUAAGCCUGGGAAACCGGGUCUAAUACCGGAUAUGACUCCAUGACGCAUGUUGUGGGGUGGAAAGCCUUGUGCGGCUGAGGAUGGGCCCGCGGCCUAUCAGCUUGUUGGGUGGGGUGANGGCCUACCAAGGCGACGACGGGUAGCCGGCCUGAGAGGGCGACCGGCCACACUGGGACUGAGACACGG
Molecule: ribosomal RNA, 301 nt
Filed under: uncultured bacterium
Lineage: Bacteria
Description: bacterial SSU rRNA
Rfam family: Bacterial small subunit ribosomal RNA
Source: RNAcentral